CGGCUCUCGCAUCGAUGAAGAACGUAGCGAAAUGCGAUACUUGGUGUGAAUUGCAGAAUCCCGUGAACCAUCGAGUCUUUGAACGCAAGUUGCGCCCCAAGCCUUCUGGUCGAGGGCACGUCUGCCUGGGUGUCACAAAUCGUCGUCCCCCAUCCUCAUCCU
Molecule: ribosomal RNA, 162 nt
Filed under: Pachycladon latisiliquum
Lineage: Eukaryota; Viridiplantae; Streptophyta; Magnoliopsida; Brassicales; Brassicaceae
Description: 5.8S ribosomal RNA
Rfam family: 5.8S ribosomal RNA (bases 2-135)
About the family: 5.8S ribosomal RNA (5.8S rRNA) is a component of the large subunit of the eukaryotic ribosome. It is transcribed by RNA polymerase I as part of the 45S precursor that also contains 18S and 28S rRNA. Functionally, it is thought that 5.8S rRNA may be involved in ribosome translocation.
Source: RNAcentral